AUGCAAAACUGCUCAGGAGCUAUAUUUAGUCUGGGCCCUGGAUACACCAAGUGCACAGACACAAAAAGUUCCUUUACUGAUCUGACAUCCCUCAGGUACCCUAUGGCACUCUCUUGUCCCAGUGUACACACACCUCUGCCCUCUGCUGCACUUUGCUGCCCUUGUGUAGCUGUGAAGAAAACAGAUGUGCGUGUCUCAUCCAUUCGGUGUGUCAGAGUUGCUCUGGAGCCAUGAUGUGAAACCAGGUGAAGGCUGAGGAAAGGUAGGAAACCGUGCGCAGUCUUUAAAGCUUCACAAGUCCUGGGGAGAACAGUAAUCUCAGUCUACACUUGGGGCUAAAAGCUUUGCAAACUGCCUGUGCCUGAUCUGUUUCCCACUGUGAGUUAGCAGUGUAGUUUGGACCAACCUGUCUUGAGGGCAAAACUUGGAGAACCUUUAAUGUAGCAAGCCUGGUUCAAGCUGUGUAUCUUCUUUUAGCAUUGGAGACAGAGCAUGCAGGGGAAAAGGAGUCCUCUUCUCUUGCUCAGAAAGCUGACAGAUUCCAGAGAUCUUGCUCUAAGCAAGCUUUCAUGCUGCUUGUUGUCUUGUCUCCAAAAUGUGUUGACUGUUCAGGGAUGCACCUUUAAAAUCAGUUAACCUUUGUUCAGGAAACCAUUGCCCCUGCACAUUCUGUUUUUAGGAAAGAAGGCAACAUCUGUAUACUGUUUGGACCCACACUAUCAAAAGAAAUGGUGUUCAUCUUGGGUAUCCCGGAUCCAUUUCCAUAAUAUUUUGCAAUCUAGCUGAUGAUGAUCUGGCCUAAUUCCCUACUCCUCAGCACAUUUUCAAAUUCCUGCGAGCAGCCUUUCCGUGACUGUCCUUACAUGACAUAGCAGUGACACCUGCUCACCCUCAGCCAGCUUUAACUGCUAGCUGUUGUGAAAGACAGAAGAUAGUGUCCACGACUGAUAGACUGAUAACCACCCAGAUAAGCAAGCAGAAGGAUGCAAUAGGACCUCUGCUGCCUGUAUGCAAAGUGCUGAUGAAAGGACAUUUUAUUAUAGGCUUAAUAAUAUCACCUAGCAGCAUUAGCUGUUUGGCCUUAGUUGCCUCCUCUGAAAACAUGCUCCAAGUCUUUGGAUGAAAUCUCAAAAUAUUUAGCCUGACUACAUUCCCUAGCCCACUGAUUCAUUUAAAAAGGGCUACAGUCUGGACACAACUACAGAUGUGGUUCUUCUAGUUUCUAAAAGCAGGGAUUAGACUCUGUUGUAGGCUCCUGGCUCUAGCAAAAAUAAGGCUCCUGCAAGCAUGGGAUAAAAAAGCGUUUAAUGGGUCAUGAAGUCUUUGCUGUUACCCGCAGCCUUGUCAGAAAAUCCUGUGAAUAAACUCCUGUAGUUCUCUCA
This 1382-nucleotide long non-coding RNA is filed under the name Anas platyrhynchos platyrhynchos (common mallard). Its description in RNAcentral is "lncRNA (ENSAPLG00000029480.1)". The record is from RNAcentral. Lineage: Eukaryota; Metazoa; Chordata; Aves; Anseriformes; Anatidae.